ACGGGGUGCAGCAGGCGCGAAACCUCCGCAAUGCGUGCAAGCGUGACGGGGGAACCCCAAGUGCCGAUGGUCUAACGACUGUCGGCUUUUCGAGAGUGUAAAGAGCUCUCAGAAUAAGGGCUGGGUAAGACAGGUGCCAGCCGCCGCGGUAACACCUGCAGCUCAAGUGGUAGCCGAUUUUAUUGGGCCUAAAGCGUCCGUAGCCGGGCUGACAAGUCCUUUGUGAAAUCGGGCGGCUCAACCGUUCGGCUUGCAAGGGAAACUGUCGGUCUUGGGGCCGGGAGACGCUGAGGGUACUCCGGGGGUAGCGGUGAAAUGCUGUAAUCCUCGGGGGACCACCAAUGGCGAAGGCACUCAGCGAGAACGGACCCGACGGUGAGGGACGAAAGCUGGGGGAGCGAACCGGAUUAGAUACCCGGGUAGUCCCAGCCGUAAAGUAUGCAGGCCAGGUGCUGGACGUCCCUCGAGGGCAUUCGGUGCCGUAGGGAAGCCGUUAAGCCUGCCGCCUGGGGAGUACGGUCGCAAGGCUGAAACUUAAAGGAAUUGGCGGGGGAGCAC
Molecule: ribosomal RNA, 558 nt
Filed under: uncultured archaeon
Lineage: Archaea
Description: bacterial SSU rRNA
Rfam family: Archaeal small subunit ribosomal RNA
Source: RNAcentral